RNAcentral lists this ribosomal RNA (465 nucleotides) under uncultured bacterium. Its description in RNAcentral is "partial 16S ribosomal RNA". It matches the Rfam family "Bacterial small subunit ribosomal RNA", at positions 28 to 507 of the family's 1533-position model. The record is from RNAcentral.
GACGAACGCUGGCGGCGUGCUUAACACAUGCAAGUCGAACGGUAAGGCUCCAGCUUGCUGGGGUACACGAGUGGCGAACGGGUGAGUAACACGUGGGUGACCUGCCCUGCACUUCGGGAUAAGCCUGGGAAACUGGGUCUAAUACCGGAUAGGACCGCACCGUGAGGGUGGGGUGGAAAGUUUUUUCGGUGUGGGAUGGGCUCGCGGCCUAUCAGCUUGUUGGUGGGGUAAUGGCCUACCAAGGCGGCGACGGGUAGCCGGCCUGAGAGGGUGGACGGCCACAUUGGGACUGAGACACGGCCCAGACUCCUACGGGAGGCAGCAGUGGGGAAUAUUGCACAAUGGGCGGAAGCCUGAUGCAGCGACGCCGCGUGGGGGAUGACGGCCUUCGGGUUGUAAACUCCUUUCACCAUCGACGAAGGGUUUCUGACGGUAGAUGGAGAAGAAGCACCGGCUAACUACGUG